Long non-coding RNA from Chinchilla lanigera (long-tailed chinchilla), 1678 nucleotides. RefSeq lists it as uncharacterized. The record is from RefSeq and is a predicted model, not a curated record. The transcript has 3 exons. Lineage: Eukaryota; Metazoa; Chordata; Mammalia; Rodentia; Chinchillidae.
GUGAAGCAGCUGUCAAGGCGGAAAAGUCCAAGCUGGAACUGAGCUCCCCUGACCUCAGCCUGCAAUGCUUCUGCUGUCUACUGACGCUACAGGACACACUGGGGGACACAACACCCCCUAGUUUUCUUCCUGGAGUCCCCGAGGAACUGGCGGGUGGUGUGACCGUCUCCCAAGAAGGGCGGGUUGUCUCCAGGUGGGAGGUGACAGAUGCAGCUAGACCAGGCUCAGGAAAGUAGGCAGCAGGCCACACUGGCACCUUUGCCAGAGUCACAGUGAUUCUUUCUAAGCCCAAACAUCCAGAGACACCUGCUCCCAAGCCUCGCGGGGUAGAGAGAGCUCACAGUGAGUCAGCACCAGGUUUCCUUGGAAAAUUAAGAUGGGACAAUAAGUGCGAGACAUUCUCAGGGGCAAUUUGCCCCAACCUCUCAGACCUGCAUCCAUGCUGUGGAGGGGACAGCAGAGCCAGGGAAUAGCAGAAGUGCAGGGAAUGCCCUGGCAAGUCCCGGUGUGUGUGUGGUGACUCCAGGGACAUUGUACAGUGGCAAAACCAGUGGUUGGUAACUGAUUAUUCACUGGGCUCUUCACAGUUCACGAUUACCCACCUACCCCAUAAAAUCAUCCAUCCAUAGCCUUGCAUGCCCACCCACUUCCAAGCCUUUCAUUCAUUCAUUUCUCUAUCUGUCUAACACCAUCCACCCAGCACAUGGUUCUCUGUGGGAUUCUGGAUAUGAGGCCAGGAGCAAAACCCCAGAGGGAUGGAUAAACCUGAGAAAGUCUGAGAAAGGGAAUGUGGUGCGGGAGCUUCCAGGAGGGGCAGCAGGACCCCAAGGAAGAACCACUUGAUUCCACCCCAGACAGUUCAAGAAGGCUUCCCGGGCAAGGAACACUCGGCUUGGCCCUGAAGGAGAAGCGGGGCCUUGAGGAGCUGGGGGAAGGAGCCCUGGCCGAUGAGCCUGGCAGUGAUGCAGGCUGGCUGGGGACACCAGAGAGCCUGCAGCACAGGGGGAGUGAGGACAUCAGGGAGGUCCGGAGUGCUUAGACAGAGUGCCCAGGGUGACCCCACGGAGCCCCAUCUCGACUGCGCGCCCUUUACCUGACCCAGCAUGCUUGGUGACACCAUGGGGUCUCCAGGGUUCUCACCCUCUGGUGGACCCCGUGUCACUGAAGUCAGGGGGCGCAGACAGGUGCGGUCAGAAGGACCAGGAGCCGAGCCCAGGUGGGGGUGCUGCUUGUGGGGAGGAGCGGGGAAGGGAACCUCGGAGAUCGUUUUCACCUGCCACCUGCUCUGCCCCGCCCAGUGAUGGAAAAUGUGUGUCAGAGGAAGCUGUGCUGGGGACACGGGAAGGGCGAAGGGCGGGCAGACCGUCCCGCGAAAGUGUCCUCAAGCCUCGGAAGCCGCAGCCAAGUCUUGCUCAACUGUUUGUGCAGCAAGCGCUGUCUGCUGGGAUGCGAGGAAACAGGGCAGCCCUUUCCUCCCCAGAGAGAUGCACAGCCUAGAAAGGGCAGAAACAACUGAGACGGUCAUCCGCUUGAUGCCCAGAGAUGGAAAACAGCCACCAGCUCAUGGUUCCAGGCAAAUCAGAGGCCCUUAGUCAUUUACCUGCUGUAGUGGACUGAUAACUGGUGGUCAGUUUGUAACCCCCAGCUGAACUGAGUGAGUGGUGCUGGGUGUGGGAGG